UACGUAGGGGGCUAGCGUUGUCCGGAUUCAUUGGGCGUAAAGAGCGUGUAGGCGGCCAGGUAGGUCAGCUGUGAAAACUGGAGGCUCAACCUUCAGACGUCGGCUGAAACCAUCUGGCUAGAGUCCGGGAGAGGAGAGUGGAAUUCCUGGUGUAGCGGUGAAAUGCGCAGAUAUCAGGAAGAACACCCGUGGCGAAAGCGGCUCUCUGGAACGGUACUGACGCUGAGACGCGAAAGCGUGGGGAGCGAACAGG
RNAcentral lists this ribosomal RNA (253 nucleotides) under uncultured bacterium. RNAcentral describes it as "partial 16S ribosomal RNA". It matches the Rfam family "Bacterial small subunit ribosomal RNA", at positions 524 to 776 of the family's 1533-position model. The record is from RNAcentral.